RNAcentral lists this ribosomal RNA (465 nucleotides) under uncultured bacterium. RNAcentral describes it as "partial 16S ribosomal RNA". It matches the Rfam family "Bacterial small subunit ribosomal RNA", at positions 28 to 507 of the family's 1533-position model. The record is from RNAcentral.
GACGAACGCUGGCGGCGUGCUUAACACAUGCAAGUCGAACGGAAAGGCCCUGCUUGCAGGGUACUCGAGUGGCGAACGGGUGAGUAACACGUGGGUGAUCUGCCCUGCACUUCGGGAUAAGCCUGGGAAACUGGGUCUAAUACCGGAUAGGAGCCAUUUUUAGUGUGAUGGUUGGAAAGUUUUUUCGGUGUAGGAUGAGCUCGCGGCCUAUCAGCUUGUUGGUGGGGUAAUGGCCUACCAAGGCGGCGACGGGUAGCCGGCCUGAGAGGGUGGACGGCCACAUUGGGACUGAGAUACGGCCCAGACUCCUACGGGAGGCAGAAGUGGGGAAUAUUGCACAAUGGGCGCAAGCCUGAUGCAGCGACGCCGCGUGGGGGAUGACGGCCUUCGGGUUGUAAACUCCUUUCGCUAGGGACGAAGCUUUUUGUGACGGUACCUAGAUAAGAAGCACCGGCUAAAUACGUG